Molecule: long non-coding RNA, 15884 nt
Filed under: Marmota monax (woodchuck)
Lineage: Eukaryota; Metazoa; Chordata; Mammalia; Rodentia; Sciuridae
Source: RNAcentral
UUUUUAGGAAAUUAUUUUGUACAAGAAAUGUACUCAAAUAAUUGUCAAGAUGGGGGAGGUUUGUGUCCAGGAAAUAAAGUUAUCUUCAUCAUCUUAUUAAAUGUAUUUUUGGUUUCCUUUCACUCUAGCCUUACCUUAUGGGUGGGAGGAAGCUUACACAGCAGAUGGAAUCAAGUACUUCAUCAAGUAAGUACAAGCCUCUCAACCAAGUAAGCAAUUUUCCUCACAUCUGGAGAGAACCUGGAAGUUGCAGAAUAAUCAGCAAAACCAAGAAAUCCUCUUGGAGGUUACAAAAAUUAGAAACAAGAAAUGAAGCCUCACCAUUUUCAUUUCAUGUGAUUUAAAUGCUAAUAUCAGAUGUCACUUGGGGGGAAAAUCCCUAGUAAUAAUUUCAAGGGAGACAUCAAAAUGUUGGAACAGAAACAUUAUUUGAACUUAAAUGGUGGCUACCUAAAUUUACUUGCUGGGGAGUAGUGUUAAUAUUUAUGAAAAGUUAAUAUCUAAUGAAAAAAUCCAUUUUAUGUGUCUUAAAACUUCUUCACAAAAAUACCCAUAACAAUCAACAUUUUUCAGUGCUUUACAAUGUACCCAGACCAUUCAUUCUAUAAAUAUUUCUGUAAAUAUUUACCAGGCUGUUUCAUGCCUUGGAGACACAUAGGUAAAAUGUACAGACUGGUUCCCAGAUGCCUUGGAAUUUACAUAAUAAUGAGGACAGAUAGACAAUAUGUAACUUAAGAGAUAAAUAGGACAGUAUAUGAACAAACCCAAUUCCACUGGAUUCAGAACAACUCUUUGAGUUGUGCAUAUCUUAUCAUUUUCCUUAUUUUAAAGAUGAAGAAAAUAAGCCUUAAAUUGCUGCCAAAAAAUUCACAGCUAUGACAUAACCAAGCCAGAACUAGAGUCAAAGUCUUCUGAUCCAAGAUCUUUUGUACUGUACUAGACUGUCUGCUAGAGGCCUUAAAAACCUGGACAAAAUUACGUUGUCUAGCUGCUGAACCGGUUAGUUUUACUCUGGACAGAGCCGUCUGAUAUACUUCCCCUAUGUUCUGAGUAAAUCCUUUCAUGUCAGAAUUGGUGUUAUGAGAGCACAAAAGGGAAUCUCAACAGACUCCUGAGAGCCCAAGAAACUCCCUGUUCAUUCUUUUGGUAAAUUAUGCAUGGUAUACAUUUUAAAAGGAAAAGGAAGACAUGUCCUUGCUAUCCCUUCAGAUGUGCAAAUACUUUAAGCCCUGUGAUGUCACAUCUCUCUUAGCCUCAGUUUUCCAAUCAAUAAAGUAAGGGGAAUACUAUCAACUUUAUAGAGUUGUUGAAUCACCUAGCAUACAACUGUGAGCACAGCAGAUGCACAGUAAGUAGUCAUCAUCAUUUUGCAAUAUGGAGAAUUUUGGGUGGAAAAAAAACCUGAGAAAUCAGAUCACUAUUAUAAAGACUGAGAAUUCAAAACCUUCAUAUUUGAAAAAAAUUUGAGGAAAAACUAAGGAUAAACCUGGCAAAGUGUUUUCAUGGUGUGCUUUCCUUGUAGUCUGUAGUGAUAAGUAAAGGAAAAGUAUGAAGGAGAAGGAAUUUUGGAGCAGAGAACCCAGGAAUUCCAUGUGCAUAUUACAGUUAGAACCACACUAUUCACUUCCAGCUCAGACCUCUUUUGUAAAGAAACUUGCCCUCUGAUGUGCUGGAUUAAUCGUGAUUAGUAUCCUGUAGGGACAUCAGGAAAAUAAAACAACACAGUCAAAUUUGCAUUGAGCCCUAGCUGAUGUUCAAUUGCCAGACAUAGAUGUUGGUUUCUAUGUGUUGUGUCAUUUAAUCCUUUUAAUGAUAUCUAAACAGAUGUCACUUAACUUACUGAUGGUGUGAUGAGGGUGGUGAACUAUAUCUUGCCAUGUUGUGCUCUAGAAGAUCCCCAAAUGAAUGUAUGAUCAAAGGAAGGAAAGCAAUCAUUCAUUAUUAACUGGGGUUCUGCUUUCAGAGUCUCUUGAAAAGUGUUAAUAAAUGAGUCCAGACCCCGUAGGGAACUCCUUUGCCUAAGCUUAGCUGUCUGUCAGUAUAUCCUAACCCAAAACCAAAUAUGAGAGCCUAACUAGCGCUGUAUGAGAGACAGAUACUAAGAACACGAUUGCCCAUAACAAAGAAAAAGGGGGAGCAAGAGAUGGAUAGCCAGAGAGUCAGUUUGGCUCCCCACUGGUACCCAGUUGACGUAACUACUGGUCCUUACAGAUGGGAACAACAGCCUUGGGCUGAACUACUAAUACCAGGGGAAGAUAGCACCCAAGGAGAAGACAUAAAAAAAGAAGGGUCAGCAAACUCUUCAGCUGCCCUGAGAUCUAACUCAAUUCUUGUGGAAUAAAUAGGAAAAGAAGCCACAUUACCCAGUCCCGUUUACUCCACUCAGAAAAAUACCCCAAAGGAUGCAUUCUGGAAGCCCAUCAGUUCUCUUCCUUAACCUUAAUCUUAAUCUUGAUAUAUGAGGAAAGCAUAAAAAACAUGAAAUAAAUUUGUUUUCCAAAGGGCAAUGGUGGGUAUCAUUAUCUCACCAUUACAGCUGAAGAAACUGUUAAAGAGGCUAAAUUUGUCAAGGUCACGCACAAUAAAAUUGCAGAGCCAAGGUACAGAACCAGGGUUGUGUGGGUCCAAAGCCACCCCCUACACACAUACUCAGGCUGCACCACCUCCCCCUCCUUAUUUUAAGGAUGUCUGUUAACAUGUGACAAGAAAGACAUUUUAAACAGAUCUUGAUGCAGAUACAGCUCUAUAUCCAAUUUAAAAUAGCAAAAUAGAAUUUUGAUUUUAAAAAUAAGUAGUGAUCUUCUGGAGAUUAGGAAGGUCAAAGAGCAAAAAUAAGAAAAUCUAAUAUCGUGGUGCAUCUUUCCCCUCCUUAUGGAGGAGUAGGGUGCUUGUUGUGAGUUGGGUUUUGUUUUUAUCAUGAAAAUUUUACCUCAUUCAAGCACCAAGACUUAUCUAAACUGUUCUUGACCAAAGUCUUACUUUGAUAUGUGCUACAUACUUCCCUGCCUUCUUGUACAGAGCCCACUGAACACAAUCAUUAUGAACAUUCAUCAUUAUAUAGACAGUGAAUUCUGCAGGGGACAUUGAGCUGUAUGUGCUAGAGUAGAGACAAAUCUGUCAUCUGUCACUGCUCUCCAUGUGCCUGUCACUCCCUUCACCCCCAUAUUUUUUCCCUCUACACAGUCACCCUCUUCUCCAGGAAUUUCUUAUUUGCAGAAGAGAGUAAUCUAAUUUGAAUUGCUUAUAAAUAGUCUUUGAGCAUGGGCCUGCAGGAAUUGUGGUGAGUCAAGUAUGCAAGUUCUGAUGGGGGUGGAUUUAAUUACAGGAUAGCCAUUGGUUUAAGAAAAUGAGGAGCAUGGGCCUUGGACGCCAAGAACUUGGAUGCAAAUGCUGGUGUUUCCACAAAAUAGCUGAAUGACCUUGGGCAUGUUUAUUUAACAUCUGUAGGGUUUUAUUCCACAUUUAUAAAAUAUAAAGUAUAUUAGCACUUCCUAGAAUUCCUGUCCAGAAUGAAUGAGCUGAUGUACGUAAAGUUUGACAUUUGGUGGCAGUUUCUUCAUGGCUCUGAGCCACUUUGAGUUAGGUGAUAUUGCCGAGUAAGUAAAGUCUACACAAGUGAACAUCUACCAAGGUCCUUCUUAGAACUAUUUAGGUUUUGUUUUGUUUUAAUUUUUAUCCUUCCACUACCCCCAACCAAAAUUUUGAGGCCAUACAGCCUGUGUUAGCUACUGAGAGGGGAGGGGUUUAUUUGUAGGUGGAUGAUAGUCUGGAGGCUAAAGAAAUAACAAUUAACUCACGUUAUUGCCUCACUCACCUCUGCUUAAAAAGAAUAAUGACUGAAAUCACCCUCCCAGAACACCCAGAGAGAUGAUGGUUGGCAUACAGAUGAUCCCUUCCCAGAAAUUGGCAUCUGUCACUGUCCUUCCAGAGAUCGAAUCAUUAAGUCUGAUGAAAGAUAAGCCUCCAGCAAGAGAAUAACUGUCAGUGCUGUCUCCAGAAUGUCCAGGUACAUAUGGUCCUCACAGAGUAUUCCUAGCCAUUUACCAUUUCCGGGUCCAUCCACACAUCUAUUAAUACUUUGUCAUCUACUUGAAUUCUGAUGCCAGAGAAGAGCAUUUUAUCUGGUUUGGACAGACUUAUACAGCAUUGUCAUUGACAGAGCCAGUGUGUCAUAGAACUAACAAAUGUAUGUGUCUGUGUCUGUGUGUGUGUGUGUGUGUGUGUGCUGACAUGCGUGAACACAGGCAUGCUCACUUGCCAUAAAUAUAUAUGUAAAUCUAUAGACAUACUUGCAUAAAAUAUAUCAGUAUAUUCUAGGAACAUUUUUUUCUAUUUUCUCCUUAGAGAGAAAGUUGCAGCAUUCUUAAUAACAAAGUAUUCAUUAUCUUGAGGGUGCUGUAUUAAAAUUAUCUCAUUACUUGAUCAUUUUUUCGCUCAACUUCUUAUCUUCCCCUUGAAGUUGUAUACUAAUACAAAUUUACGAUAAUCUUUUCAUAUGAUUCUAUAUUAAAGUAUGUUAUGUGAUAAAUAAAAAUAUUUUGAGAGUUAUCAUGUUUAUUAGUAAAACUGAGUUUAUAAUUGCAAAUUAGACAUAGCUGAUACUUGCUUCCAUUGUACUCUUAACUUUCCAUCAAAAGAUUGAAUUUACUGUGAUCAAUGAUCAUACUUAUAUUAGUUCCCUAUUUCUACAUAAUAAAUUUUUUCCACCCAGUUUCAAAACAUCAACAAUACAGAAUUGACUUCCCUGCAUUAUUUUGAUGCUCUUGCAUUCUGUCUUCCUGAGUCUUUCAUGAAGUUGUCAAGCUGUUUGCUAGCUGGGCCCCCCAAGAGUGGCUUCCUAGGCUGGCUAGAAUACUUAUUUCAAGCUCACUUAUGAGGCUGUUGGCAGAGGCCUCAACUUCUCAUAUAAGUCUGUGGGGUCACUCCCAACAUAGCAGCUGCCUUCCCUAAGAGCAAGGGAUGAGAGAUACCUCACAAAAAAAAGCUACAGUGCCUUUCAUAACCAAUCUCAGAAGUGAGUGAUAUACCUUCUCAUCUGUUGUUCGUCACAAAGACCAACCCUGGUACAGUGUAGUAGGCAACUACACAAGACUGGAUUCCAGAUGAUGUGGUUCUCUGGGAACCAUGUUAGAGGAUACCUACUAAAAUGCCAUUUCCUGAUAUUAUGUCAAUUAAAUUAUAUGUACAUACAAUAUUUGUAAAUAAAUAGUAUAAGCUUCUAAAUAUCAGAUACUUGCUAAUGAAUAUUCAAUUAUAUUAUUGGUGACUUCAAAUAGAUAUAAUUAUUUGCUUUUAAAAAUUACUUGCAUGGUCUUGUAAUUCUCCUUAUAUGUCAAGUCUAAAAUCGGAGGUUAUUGAAAUACUGUUUCUCAUGUUAUAGAUUCUGUUCUCUAUUACACAUCAGUAGAAUAUAGGAAAUCUGUGUUGUUAUUUUUUUUAAUAAAACUAAAGUUUUGUGUAGAGCUGGGAAGGAAAGUAGAUGACAACUCACACCAGCUCUUAGUUGAUGAUGACUACCUCAAGUGUUGUUUGAGAAUUCUAAAGCCAUAUUUAACCUCACUAACAUAGGCCUUGAUCAAUUAAUUAAAGAUGUCUGCCGUGGGUGUGGGGAAGUAAUGUCUUAUAAGACAUGUGCCACAUCUUUGGAAUGUUGAUUUUCUACAGCAUAUUGCUAACAUAGAAACUCUGCUUGGAUGAACAGUAAAAAGGUAGCUAUUAGGUUGGAAUAACAAAUUAUGACAAUCACUCCCCAAUAUCUUAUGAGAUGUUCAAUAUUUGAAGCUUUGCUUUUGUAACUCUAAUUUUCGAUAGGCAUAAUUUUCUUAUUUCCAGUCAGAGUUCAUUAACAACCAUAAGUAUGUAUCUGAACUUUGGAUAGAAUAAGAUAGUUAGGUUGUUCCCAAGUAGGAAAGAAUGUGGAUCUUAACCUAUAUAUGGAUAAGAUUGACCAUUGUCAGCCUACUGUGUUAAUUAAAAACUUCGGUUACACCGUGUCAUCUCCUUUAUAAAAUAAAAAAUUGAAAACACACAAGGAAGAAUUUGAGCUUACAGUUUCUUAGGGCCUAACUUUAUUCUGCAAAUAGAUCCUAUCUUUAGUAAUUCUAAAGCAAUUAGAAAUUUGGGGGAUUGGAGAGGAAAUCUGGGAGAAUGGAAAUAAAAAGUUACUCCUUUUACCUUUCCCCGAAUCCUGGGCAGAUUGUUUUAGCUUCACUUUUUGGACAUUGUGAAGCUCUCUCCCUCUGAAGACCUCAUUGAUUUGGCUGCUUUGAUUCAUUUUCAAUAAGUUAAGAAAUGUCCACUGACAGACUAAUAAGCUCUAAGGCUCAUUUAAUGAGGCGUCAGGACAAUUUCUGUGCAACUGACUUCGGGCUAGGGUAGGCUCCUCGCUGUAUUCUGCAUGGAUAAGAACCUAAGCAUACCUUUCUUUUUUUUUCUUCCUUUUUUUAAAAUAUUUUUAGUUGUAGAUGUACACAAUACUUUUAUUUAUUUAUUUAUUUAUUGGUACUAGGGAUUGAACUUGGGGGUACUCAAGCACUGAGCCAUAUCCCCAGCCCAAUUUUGUAUUUUAUUUAGAGACAGGGUCGCAACUGAGUUGCUUAGCACCUUGAGGUUGCUGAGGCUGGUUUUGAACUUGUGAUUCUCCCAUCUUAGCCUCCCAAACUGCUAGGAUUACAGGCGUGUGCCACCACGCCUAUUUAUUUAUUUUUAUGUGGUGCUGAGGAUUGAACCCAAUGCCUGACAUGUGCUAGGCAAGCACUCUAUCACUGAGUUAUAAACCUAGUCCUCCAAGCAUGCCAUUCUUAAUGAGACAAUAAUGAAGAAACCAACACAGGACUUAAAAGUAGUCAAGGUAGUCCUGAUUAACAUUUUGCCUACAAACACUACUUUUCUAUGAAUAAGUUGUAAUAUACUAAAAUCCUCACUAGUUUGCAUUUCAAAGUUGUAACCACCUAUGUGAUAACUUAUUUAGAAUAUCCAUUCUGUUGCAUACGGUGUGGUAUGUGUAGGACUGAAUAUUUUUCCAGUGAGUAAAUACUGUUGGCAGUUUGGAGAAGCAAUCAAUGGGGGAGAGAAAGGAGGCUUCAGUACCUAGUGGACCUGGGUUCUAAUAUUUUUGUCACCACUUUCAAGCAUGAACUUAGUAUUGGUUAUUUCAAUGUAUCCUCCUGAAAACAAUAACAAUAAUUUCUAUCUCCCCAGAUGGUUUUGAGAAUUGAAUGAAAUUAGGGAUCUAAAGCCCCUGGCAAAAUACCUGGCUCAAGGUGAGCUCUUAACAGAUGUAGUUUCCCCUUCCUUCCCUUGCUUCAUUGCUAUUUACCAAUGAAGGAGUUUUAAAUGACAACAUUUGCACAGCUGCAAAUAGAAACCAGUAGCCAAAACCUACAUUUCUACUACUCUCUGGACAGUCAAAAGCCCAGUGAUAGGAGCAGAAAGGUUGCAUUGAUCAUGAGCCUGGAACAGCUUGCCCAGGAUUUUCUAUAAAUACCUACAAAGAUGUGUAGAAAUAUGAAAUUCUGUAGGAGAAAUUGUCAUUUAAACGAAAGGCCAGCCAGCUGGCUUGGGUUAUUCAGAAUGGCAAAGCCACUGAGAUGAAUAAAACAUCCAGAUCUAGACAUCCAACAUCAAGCUCUUUUCCCUACCAUUUCAAUAAUGACAGGUAUAAAUUGGGCAUGAAGCAUGAUUUCCAGAAUUUCAUUGGGGUAUUAAAAGCAAAUCCCCCAGGUUUGCAUAGAGUUCUUUGGAAAUUUAUCACCUUUUUGGAGUUAUACUUGGUUUAGCCAGAUGUAGACUUCUCUCUGCUUCUAGGACCCUUUAUAUAGAUUUAUUAACAUAUACUUCUUUUUGUCACUUUUCCUCACAAGUUGCUGUGUUAGCUUGCUAGUGCUUCCAUAAUAAAAUAGCCCAGAGUAGAUGUCUUAAACAAUAAAAAUUUAUUUUCUCACAGUUCUGGAGGUCUGAAGUCCCAAAAUAAGGUGUCAGCAGGGUUGGUUUCUGUUGAAGCCUCUCUUCCUGGACACAGUUCUGUCCUUAACAAUUGCUUUUCCUUUAAUUUGCUUUCUGUAAGAUCUUUGGCACCAUGUUCUUCAUCCAUUGGAUUAUUUUCAUUGUCAUAUAAUCUUUCUUGUAACAAAUUUACCAAGUUUUAGGCAAAUUGCAAGAAUUGAUUCAAACCCCAGUGCCUUUUUACUUCAUGGAAGUGGCCCUAGGCAUUACAAAGAAGCAACUGAGGAGUAAGGGAGUGUGGCAGACAGAAAACAGUGAUCUCCAACAAUGUCCAAUCCUGGUCCCCAGGACUUGUGGAUAUGUUAAGUUACAUGGUAAAGGGGAAUUAAUUUUGAUUAUCAGCUAACCUCAAAGCAGAGUGUGUGUCCUGAAUUAUAUGUUAUUGGCAAGGGGUAGAGAAUGAAGGAUAGAGUGAGCUCUUAGGAAGAGCUUUGUGUUUUUAAAACAUUUUAUAUUCUAAUGGUUAAAACUAGAUUUGUUAGCUUACAAGAGUAUUUAUUUGCCGUAAAUAAUUAUAACUUAAAGCCUGGGAUUCAAGUAAAUUUACAUAUAAAUGCCAGAAACUCUAGUUAAAAUUGAAUUAUAAUACUGCUUCAAUCAUUACCUAUCACCAAAUGUGUGAAUAGACCUUAGCAAGCUGCUUGGAUGUGAGCGUAUUGGCAAGGUGGGCUAUUUUCUGAUUACUUGGUGACUUUUGAGCUAAAUUAAGUGAGUCUCUUUUUCCCCAGGUAAUGUUCAAUUUCUGUAAACAUAUCUGUAAACUAUGUAAGACAAAUUCACUGCAUUAUCACAUCUGAGGAUUGUUUUAUCUGAACCUCAACUAUAAAUAAGUUAGUCUCCCAUUUUUCAGUCAAUGCUGUAACUAUAAUAAUAUGUCAGUGGGAUGUAUAUUGUGUCCAGGCAUCAAACAUUUAUUGAUUCCACUUUUUGUGAGCCAGACACAAGCUAUAAAGAUAAGAAAGACACAUUCCUGACCUGCAGAAGCUAAUAGUCUAGUGGACAAAAAUAAACAUAUUUAGAAUUUAUUGUCACAUGACUCAAAAUUUCUGACUGCUGGGGAAGCACAAAGGCCUCUGAUUCAGGCUUCACAUGUACUUUUUAUUCACAGUUAUUCAGAUAACAUUUUUUUAUAAAUUUCAUGACAAGUACUAUUAAAAAGAUAUAGUAGCAUUGGACAGAUUAUCUGUGAUCAUUGAGUUAAUUAUUCAAUUAAUUUCACCUUGCUGAGCUGAAGGGCCCCAUUCAGAUGGUAUCACCUAAUCCACUUCAGAGCCUCUUCAUGUGUUGUCAUGGAAACCAACCCAGAUAACAGAGGAGUCUAACAUACUGGUUAAAUUCUCAGAAGUCAGAUCCUGUCUCUAAAACAUGACUUGGAUGGAUAUUUCAACUGUCUCAGUAUUCCUUUUCUCAUAAUGGACAGUUAAAUCCAUGUAGUCGUAAGUCCACACAUGGCAGGCACCAUUGAAAUCAAUCAGUAUUCAAAGUAUGUGAGAGAACUAUAGAGGAUGAUGGUAUGUUUUUUAAAUCCCAUAAUUUUUCACUAGAAUUAGAGGGUUCAAGCACUCACUCUCAAAUGACUGUAGCACUUCACAUGAUGGUGUCAGUAAUACUAACAAAAUACCUCAAGACCUCAAAAAUUUUCUCUUUAAGAAUCUCUCAAACUCACUUUCAGUUUUGUGAUAUAAAUUUUCUCUAAUACUUUAUAUAUAUAUAUAUAUAUAUAUAUAUAUAUAUAUAUAUAUAUAUAUAAAAUUAACUUUGGUAUAAAAAUAAUAUUAGAAUCGAUAUAAAAUAAGUUGAAAUUGUAUGUUUUAAAUUUCAGGUUUUAAAGUUUCAAAUUUGGUAAUUAAGAAAAAUAUGUUUAGUCAGAUGUUUAAUAAAUUUAUUUACUAAAUUAAGUGAAAGCCUGUGUUACUCAUAAUUCUAUCUUAAAGAACAUUAAAAUUAAAGGAGUUUCUAUAUUUUAUGUACUUUUGCACACUAGUGGGAAUUUAAUCUGAAAAUAAUGUGGUCUUGCAAAGUGGUUUCUAAUUAAAUUUAGUGUGUAUUAGUCUAUAUUCUGACAGUCUUUUGAUUGUUGACAUAAAGUAGCAAGAAAAUUAUUUAUUGCCGGUUUUCUGUAUUUUAAAACUAUAAAAGUAGUACAUAUAUUCCCUGGCAAACUCAGUCAUGGCUUCCUCUUGAAAUACUCCCUUGGGCUUGGCAGUGAUUCACAUAACACUAACUGCAGUAGCACAUCUCCUUUCAGUAGCUUAAUACCCACAGAUCAGUGCAGCAUUCCUGUUUAAUGGGUGUGGCUAUUUCUUCUGGAUGGUAAAUUUGAUGUCCAGACUGCUUCAUUUCUCUUGGUUCCGCCCAUCCUCUGCAGCCUCAGAGUCCUUUACAUGUAGUUAAUGAGUGAGGAUUGAAGAGUGUAGAAGGCACUCCAUCUUCUUAAAGACCUCAGACUCAUAAAAGAGAAACAGUUCUGUCCCCUUCCAUUGGCAGGAACUAAUCCCAUGCUCAAUAUAAAGAUAGGGUGGGCUAGGAAAUUAAUCUUUGCCUGAAUGUCUGCCUCCUAGCAGCAAUGCCACAGUCUGGGAUGGAGAACAUACUUUUUUUUUUGGACACUGUCAAAGGAUAUAUGUUAAAGUAUAAAUACACCCACAAGCCUAUAUCAUGAUUAGUAUCUUAUAGUCCAGGAUAUAGGUAUCUAGGUAUCGAUAUCAGUAGGACAUAUUUUUUACUUUAUUCUGUUUGUUUUUUGUCCUAUCAUGAUCAAAAACAGGAUUAAUUUUUCAGAAUUACCUAGGGCUGCAAUCUGUGAUUUAUACAGCUGUUUCUUUCUUUGAAAAAUUAAUUAUAUCAGUUUUGGAGUUGGGAUGUUACCUCUAUGUAAUGAUUGACAACAAUCCAAGUCAUAUAUAGUAUCUGAAGAAUAUAAUUAAUAUUCUUUAUGUUUUUCAUCAGGAAUUUUUAUCUUUUACAAGUCUAGUGAUAGCAAUUACUUCAAUAUUAUAUGUAAGUAAAAUAUUACUAUAGCUUUAGAUUAUUAUAAUUUAAUAUCUCAGACUAAGUUUUUUUAAUUAAUUGGAAUUUCAAGAUUUCCAAAAUGUAUUUUUAUAGAAAGGACCAUAAAUAUAUAAUAAAAAUAAAAUUUGUCCUGUAAAGAUUUGAAUGAGAUCCUGCUAACGUUUGAUCAGAGCCCUACUGACUUUCCAGAUCACUCAGUACAAACUGCUCAAAGUGUUCUGUGAUAUUUACAAAGUUCAUUAAUGAAAAAUAUUCAUUUUAGAGAUACAGUUCUAAAAUUAUGUAAGAGGGAAUUCUUGUAUUAGUGGGAACAAAAUGCCUAUAAUCUUCUCUUUCAUAUUUUGGGAUGGAUUCCUCAUAUUGCUGAUCUGUGGUUAUUCUCAUAACCAAUGCCUGUGGCCAGAUUAUAUGAUACCUUACUAUGGUUUGGUGAGUUUUUAGUACUUUUAUUGACGUGGUUCACCUUAUAUUCUUGUGCUCUAAUUUGUUAAUUUAAAAAAUGGAAAUUCUGUUUUAAGUGUAGAUCUUUUAUAUACUUAACUACUUGGAAUCUGUAGCCAGGAAUAAAUUUUUCCAAUGAUUCAAAGUGACUACUGCCUGAAACAAAUCAUAUGAACAUGUAUUUACUUUGUUGUCUGGUUCAUAUGAAUAUUAUACCCAUAAAGUUAUCCCCCUAAAAAAUGACAUUGGAAGUUAAUUACUUUUGGCUCUGAUCCUGCAGCUUGAUCUUAGGCAUGAUAAAAUAUUGGCAAGUCUUAUUAAACUCAGUGAUUUAUAAAUAGGGCCAUCUACAUUGGAAAGUUACAGAAGAACCUCUCCUUUCAUCAUCAUAGACAGUUAUAAGAAUGAAUUUCUACAAAACUGUUACACUUUUUGUCUUUAAGCCCACUUUCUGCUUAGCAGGCUGUCCUAAAUUUUUAUUUUGAAAGAAAGCAUUUGCUUUCUUUUUUGAAAGAAAGCAUUUUGCUCCUCUAGCUACGAGGUAAGAAACAUAAGGAGGGUAAUUAUAAUGGGAUUUAAAUAAUUCGCUUACAUUUCUUUGCCAAUGAAAUAAAGCAUGUUCUUUUAGGUUUUUUAUAAGCUCUAAAAUAUGUCCUUCAAUUUACUAAUAUUAUUUUUAAAAACACACAAUACCAUCAUUUUCCCGGAUCGAAUAUUAUUGUUUCCCAACAACAGAUUUGGCAACUAUUCAAAGGCAGGGAAUAAUAUGCUUUUCGGAUUUUCAAAUAUGUCUGAACUGCUGUUGAUUGCUCUCCAAAUCAGGUCAGAUGCACUGUCUCUGCAGGAGCAUUUGCCAGAGGUACUGUAUGUUCAAAUGGACGGUUUUUAUGUUUUGUAGUCAGCUUCAUUUAUUUUCUGGACCUCUAAAUUUUUCCUUCUAAAUAGCAGCAUCUCCCUUUAUUCACCAUCGGGUCUUUAUUAAUUAAACAGAAUCAACAGGACUGGUUUAUUCUCUCUUUUCAGCUGAGUUACCAAGUGCACAAAUCAGAGAGGAAAUAUUUCUAAUACUAGAAUGUUCUCAAAGCCAGUAAAUCUGGGAUUAUCUCAUCACACCGAUUAUGUCAAAGCUCUUUAGCCACAGUGCUCACAAAGACCUAAAAUUGAAUGGUAUACUCAAAACUGGCCCCAUUCCAGCAUCAUAGGCAAAAUUCCAAGUUUUUCUUACAAUAAUCAGAAAGCCCUAAUUAUCAAUAGACUGUGAUCAUUCAUUGAAUAUGUGCUCUUUGCCAGGACCUUCACAUGCAUUACCUGAGUUUCAGAAACUCUGACCCCUUGCUUCUGGAUGCAUUUACCCAAGAUUCUGCUGUGGAAAUAUAUUCUCAAAGCACAGAAAACAUCACCCUGUUGUUUCAGUGUUAUUGUUUCCUAGUGAGUCAUUGAAGUAGCUACAUGUUUGACACUUAGGUGUGCUUGUGUGUUUUUAAGCAAGUCCAGAAAAGUAUGCUGUGAAUGUAAGACUGAUAAAAUUUGAAUUUCAUGGAAUUACCUUUCUAUUUGGAGCAAGAUCAGAUGUUGAUUUGCUGAUUUAAAAAAAUCACUUCAGUUUUUUUUAAACAUCUUACUUUUGAUUAUUUUAAUCACCAAUCUAAUGGACUCUGUAUUUGUGCAGUUAUAAUAUUUCAAGUAUAAGAAUAUUGUGUGAAAUAGUCAAAUUGCAAAACAUGAACCUAAAUUUUUCCCUUAGGUGGUUGCUCCUGGUUUCCUUUCUUCCCAUCCUCCCCAAUUAGGGAACAUUAUAGGGGAGGGAAAUUUUAAAGAUAACUUAAAUUGCAGUCUCUCCCUUGGACCAACAUAUUGUAAGUGUGCUGAUAAACAUGACACUCAUGGAUACCGAGACUGUGAAAUAAGCAGAGAAUUCUCCUCCAGCUUCUUCGCUUCAAACACACACUUUUGACAGGAUGUUGUGUCCUCGUUUCACCUUGCAGUGCCAUUCCACCCUUCUUAUGCUGCUCUCGUUAGUAUUUCUUUAAAACCACUUUCAAUUUAGGCAGCUUCCCAGCUUUAUAAAGGCCUUGAAAUGAAAUUAACCUGUACCGAAUCAGAUGCUUUUGUAAAUUUAGCCAUCAUCAAGAAAAAUUCCUUUAAACCACUUUAAAGAGUGAAUAGUAAUAUGGAUUAUUGUGAAGAGAAUAAUGAUUCUUUGUACCACUUAACCAUGCUUCAAGGUUUUGAAACUAUGAAGAUAUCUGGGCCUUGUCACAUUCACCUUGGUUCUUAAAUGGCAUGAGCUCCUUUAACCCCAUUGUGAGAUUAUCAGCAAUCUUCUUCCACAGAAAGCUACAUCUAUAAUAUUUAAACAGAGAAGCUGAAUAAUUUGUUCAGAGUGAUUCGAACAAAAGUUAGAGGAUAGGAUUGAAAACAAACCAAGUCAGAAAUGACAGUCCCAUAUUUGUAUCAGUCCCAUAUUUUCAGUAACUGGCAUCAAUAGCCAAUAAAAUGGGUUCAUUUUUGUGAUACUUCCUGAACACUAGCCCUAUGUGUAAGUAGCAGGAGCAUGCUAGUUUAAGUAAUGUUGCAUAUUCAAAGAUUCAUGGGACAAAUUAGCAUAUUAAAGGUGCUGGGAAGUCCUAUACUUAAGAACCCCAUUUGCCUAUAUUUAACCUGUAGGAUUUGACAUCAUACAAGUCUUUCUUCAUACAGCAUUUAUUAAAAACUCUUGGAACAUACUUUGGAAAAUGUUGUUGUAUGACCUAGGCCAUACAUUCGGAUCCACAGUCUAUUAGAUCUUCAUGGGCACUGGCCUUCAGGCACACUUAAUCUAAGACGUGAUGCUGCUUCUGAGGUUGGUGUGGGAGGAUAGGCUGGGGAAACUGAUCUAGGGUGGAUGCAGGCAGUGUGGCAAAUCAGAGCUAGAGACAGUUCCCAAAAAGAAGAAACAAAUUUCCAUCCUAAAUUCAGAAGCUGUCUGUCAAACUCUCAGGAGGUAGGCAAACAGUGGAUUUAGGAGAUUCAUCUAGCUGAAGGCUUAGAGUAAGAGAUGAGUCCUGAGAAACACCAUCCCAUCCAGCAAGUAGGACCAAGGUUGUGUGAUGUUUUACUACUCCCUGCACAUGCCCACUAUCUUUUGUACCUCCUUCCUCAAAUUUGUGUUCUUUUCCUAAAUUUGUCUUUCAGGAUGCUAAUCCUUUGUUCUGAGAACAUGUCAGGCACCAUAAAUUCCAAGAUAAAAAAUAGUUCCUACCCUCGAAGAGCUUCAAAUGUUGUAAAAAAGCCUACAAACAAAUAGGCAUUAAAAAUACAGUAUAAUAAGAGACAAGACUGUGCAUAGAUUGGAGGAAUCUUAAGGGAGAUUUUGGUUCUUUAGAAUGAGGAUAAGUUAACUCCUUAGGGAAGAGGAUUGUGGCAGAGAAGGAAAUGUUAUUGCGGAGUAUAAAAAACAAGAUGUUUCAUACUAUAGAAUGUGUAUUUGUUCCAGAAGCCAUUAAUUGGAUUUGUCAUAGAUCUCUAUGCUGGAGUAGGCGAUGAAUUAGGAAACAAUUAGAACAGAGGCAGUCACUAUUUUAGUGACCCAGACUACUGCAUUGGGAAAGGAGAGGGGGAACAGAUUGCUGAGAUAUUACAGCUAGACAAUCAUAGGACUUGCUAACUGAUAUUAUCCAGUAAGGAAAAAAGAGAAAUCAAAGAUGAUACAUUAACCUGCAUUCCUUGUUACCAGUGAGGAAAGAAGGAGAUGGAUUUUCUUCAAACCUUAAAACAUGCCUAAGAUUUAUUCAUACCGGUUGGGUUCAGUUCUAACUGCUUUCUAUCACCAGGGACUGCAGAAGGGUGGCUGCAGUGGAAACAAGAUCAGUACUUGUGUGGCUGGGUAGAAAGAUCAUCAUUCAGAUCCUAAUUUGUAUUCCUUGUUCUUCUCAAGUCACGUAACACAGACUACAUCCUGGAUUCACCCCGUGAGGAGUAUCUUGAACCUGUCUUGCUCAGAGGAGAAUGAAGAGGAUUGCUCUAGAGAUCUCACCGACCAGAAGAGUUGAUGGUUUUCUGUAGGAAGCGGAGCUCCACAGUCUUCCGGCAUCUCAGUCUGUGAGCGUGACUUGAGCAGAGACCUGUGACACCCAACUCUGAGACACAGCCAUCUGAAAUAGGAGCAAAGCAGGCACUACUUGAUGGAGUAGGAAAUGGAGACUAGACUUAGGGUAUUUUUGUAAAAAUGUUUUAAUAUACUGUACACAUUUAAAAGUUGCUACUCAGUAGUUCCUUAAGAAUGAUUCAGUUAUAUCUUUUGAAAUGAUAUAUAAUUAAAUUUUAUAUGUAUACUUUUGUCUUAUAUAUUUACAUCUUUAUAAUUUUAUAUGUAGUUCAUUAUUUGGCAUCAUAUCCAAUGGUCUUUAUAAUUAAGAUCUAUUUAAAAUUUAUGUGAACAGAGUAAA